AAUUUAUUCAAAUGUGUUGACUUUUGAUAUAUAGCUGAACUUUAAUCCAAUUUAAAUUUAAUUUAAACAAUCUGGGAUUAUAGGCGUGAACCACCACACCUGGCCUAUUAAACACUUGUUCUAAAGAGAAUGAUAUUACCAUGUUCAGCCAAUGAAACUGUAGAAUAAUUAGUACUUAGACGUAAUUGAAAUGUGUACCUAGCAGCAGAUCUCUUGCAGGAAGAAGUCUGAGCAGUUUGGCACAUAGAUAAAUGGGCCUAUGUGGCCCUUUAAGGUAAGAGAUAUUACCCUUCACAGUAGGUAGCUCUUUUUUAAAAAAUCCUAUCCCAUACAACCUGUUAAGUGGAAGAAAAUAUUUGCAAACCAUUUAUCCAACAAGGGACUAAUAUCUAUAAUAUACAGAGAACUCAACAGGAAUAAAACAGAUAAUCCCAUUAAAAAGUGGGCAAAGUUUGUGACCAGCCUGGCCAACAUAGUGAAACCCCAUCUUUACUAAAAAUACAAAAAUUAGCCAGGUGUGGUGGCACGUGCCUGUAGUCCCAACUACUUGGGAGGCUGAGGUGGGAGAAUCACUUAUACUUUGGAGGUGGAGGUUGCAGUGAGUGGAGACCAUGCCAUUGCACUCCAGCCUAGGUGACAGAGUGAGACUCCAUCUC
This 656-nucleotide long non-coding RNA is filed under the name Homo sapiens (human). Its description in RNAcentral is "non-protein coding lnc-PRDM14-1:1". Lineage: Eukaryota; Metazoa; Chordata; Mammalia; Primates; Hominidae. The record is from RNAcentral.